This 216-nucleotide ribosomal RNA is filed under the name Glomeromycotina sp. RNAcentral describes it as "partial small subunit ribosomal RNA". The stretch from base 40 to 216 matches the Rfam family "Eukaryotic small subunit ribosomal RNA", at positions 686 to 864 of the family's 1831-position model. Lineage: Eukaryota; Fungi; Glomeromycota. The record is from RNAcentral.
GGGUCAGUAGGUUGGUCGUGCCACCGGUACGUACUGGUCUCACUGAUUCCUCCUUCCUGAAGAACCGUGAUGCCAUUAAUUUGGUGUUGCGGGGAAACAGGACUGUUACUUUGAAAAAAUUAGAGUGUUUAAAGCAAGCUAACGCUUGAAUACAUUAGCAUGGAAUAAUGAAAUAGGACGAUCGAUCCUAUUUUGUUGGUUUCUAGGAUUGACGUA